UAGGAAACUGAGUGUUUACUAAAGAUGGAAAGCUCCACAAAACAGCCAAUUUUAUAAGAUUUUUGGGGCUAACUGGGCACAGGACACGACUUGGUAUAAGUAAAAUAAACAGCUGGCCAUGGAAUAUGAUGAGAAGGUUAUUUUUCCCUGAUUAUAAUUACACUAAGAAA
Long non-coding RNA from Saccostrea cuccullata (small rock oyster), 170 nucleotides. RefSeq lists it as uncharacterized. NCBI's taxonomy places the organism in Eukaryota, Metazoa, Mollusca, Bivalvia, Ostreida, Ostreidae. The record is from RefSeq and is a predicted model, not a curated record. The transcript is spliced from 2 exons.